AUUCCAAUUCCAGUAUAUAAACCUGUACCAAAGCCAUUUCCAGUGUAUAAACCUAUACCAAAGCCAGUUCCAGUUCCAGUGUACAAGCCUAUUCCAAAGCCAGUGUAUAAGCCUAUUCCAAAGCCAGUUCCAGUGUACAAGCCUAUACCAAAGCCAGUUCCAGUUCCAGUGUAUAAGCCUAUUCCAAAGCCAGUGUACAAGCCUAUUCCGAAGCCAGUGUAUAAGCCUAUUCCAAAGCCAGUUCCAGUGUACAAGCCUAUACCAAAGCCAGUUCCAGUUCCAGUGUAUAAGCCUAUUCCAAAGCCAGUGUACAAGCCUAUUCCGAAGCCAGUGUAUAAGCCUAUUCCAAAGCCAGUUCCAGUGUAUAAGCCUAUUCCAAAGCCAGUUCCAGUGUAUAAGCCUAUUCCAAAACCAGUGUACAAGCCUAUUCCAAAGCCAGUUCCCGUGUAUAAGCCUAUACCAAAGCCAGUUCCCAUUUAUAAGCCAAUUCCCAUUUUUAAGCCAAUACCGAAACCAGUUCCCAUUUAUAAGCCAAUUCCCAUUUUUAAGCCAGUACCGAAACCAGUUCCCAUUUAUAAGCCAAUUCCAAUUUUUAAGCCAGUACCAACACCAAUUCCUUUUUUUAAGCCUAUACCAAAGCCUGUUCCUAUUGUUAAACCUAUUCCUAUUCCAGUUUUUAAACCCAUACCUAAACCAUUUCCAAUUGUUAAACCUAUCCCUUAAGCCAAAGUCAUUUUUUAAGCCAGAGACUUUCUUCAGAAAACCUAUUCCUAAACUUCACCCAAAUCUGAUAAAGCACGGUCUUCUACAUUUUCCAAUUCACAAUACAAUUC
This 833-nucleotide long non-coding RNA is filed under the name Glycine max (soybean). RNAcentral's name for it is "long non-coding RNA (GMAX_LNC003544)". The record is from RNAcentral. Lineage: Eukaryota; Viridiplantae; Streptophyta; Magnoliopsida; Fabales; Fabaceae.